This 370-nucleotide ribosomal RNA is filed under the name uncultured prokaryote. Its description in RNAcentral is "bacterial SSU rRNA". It matches the Rfam family "Bacterial small subunit ribosomal RNA", at positions 524 to 896 of the family's 1533-position model. The record is from RNAcentral.
UACGGAGGAUCCAAGCGUUAUCCGGAUUUAUUGGGUUUAAAGGGUCCGUAGGCGGAUCUUUAAGUCAGUGGUGAAAGCCUACAGCUCAACUGUAGAACUGCCAUUGAUACUGUAAGUCUUGAAUUCGGUCGAAGUGGGCGGAAUGUGUAGUGUAGCGGUGAAAUGCAUAGAUAUUACACAGAACACCGAUAGCGAAGGCAGCUCACUAGGCCUGGAUUGACGCUCAGGGACGAAAGCGUGGGGAUCAAACAGGAUUAGAUACCCUGGUAGUCCACGCUGUAAACGAUGAUUACUCGUUUUCGGCGAUAUACAGUCGGAGACUAAGCGAAAGUGAUAAGUAAUCCACCUGGGGAGUACGAUCGCAAGGUUG